This 253-nucleotide ribosomal RNA is filed under the name uncultured prokaryote. RNAcentral's name for it is "partial 16S ribosomal RNA". It matches the Rfam family "Bacterial small subunit ribosomal RNA", at positions 525 to 777 of the family's 1533-position model. The record is from RNAcentral.
ACGUAGGAGGCAAGCGUUGUCCGGAUUUACUGGGCGUAAAGCGCGCGCAGGCGGCACUCUAAGUACGGUGUGAAAUCUCCCUGCUCAACGGGGAGGGUGCACUGUACACUGGAGAGCUAGAGGACGGUAGAGGGGGGUGGAAUUGCUGGUGUAGCGGUGAAAUGCGUAGAUAUCGGAAGGAACACCAGUGGCGAAAGCGGCUUCCUGGUCCAGCACCGACGUUCAGGCACGAAAGCGUGGGGAGCAAACAGGA